This 241-nucleotide ribosomal RNA is filed under the name uncultured bacterium. Its description in RNAcentral is "partial 16S ribosomal RNA". It matches the Rfam family "Bacterial small subunit ribosomal RNA", at positions 112 to 353 of the family's 1533-position model. The record is from RNAcentral.
AAUGUCUGGGAAACUGCCUGAUGGAGGGGGAGUAACUACUGGAAACGGUAGCUAAUACCGCAUAAUGUCGCAAGACCAAAGAGGGGGACCUUCGGGCCUCUUGCCAUCGGAUGUGCCCAGAUGGGAUUAGCUAGUAGGUGGGGUAACGGCUCACCUAGGCGACGAUCCCUAGCUGGUCUGAGAGGAUGACCAGCCACACUGGAACUGAGACACGGUCCAGACUCCUACGGGAGGCAGCAUG